RNAcentral lists this long non-coding RNA (1038 nucleotides) under Equus asinus (donkey). Its description in RNAcentral is "lncRNA (ENSEASG00005026038.1)". Lineage: Eukaryota; Metazoa; Chordata; Mammalia; Perissodactyla; Equidae. The record is from RNAcentral.
GCAGGAGCCACCUGUGGGUGGAGGGCCAGAUUAUCCGUGGUCCUGUGGCCCUCCUCACCCCCGCCUCCUUUGUUCAGUUCCCAAGGAGAUGGGGGUAGAGGUGUUGGUGACCCCAGGGGAGACUUGGGCUAUUUGUGUCCUUUCUUUCAAGGCUGGUCAUCUGUAGUCGAAGUGGAGGUCGUUCUUGAUGCCCCCACUUUGUGGGCUGCCCAAAUCCCACUGGCCUGUCCUGGGACUCCCCCUUUUACCUCCUUCCAACUGAUUUUGGGGGGCUGCAGCUCGGGCACUUUCCCAGCUGGGGCACUCAGCAACCUUCCCAUGGCUCGGGACCACAGCUGGCCCAGGGCAGGGGAGGCACCAAGCUGAAGGACCCCCCAGGACCUAAAUCUGGGACCUGCUCCUGCCUUAUGGCUUGGCCCUGUUACCUGCUCUUGGAGCUGGGGGCCUGUGCCCACCGCUGACACUCUUGCCCUAUGCACUGCCCGACUAGCUGGCCAGGCCUUCCCCAGUGAAGGCCCCCAUUCAGUCAGAGCCAGGGCCUCCUCAGAGGGCAGCCUGGGCAUCACAGCCUUGGGAUAGGGUUCACUCAGAAGCGUGCUGGGGCAACCCCCUCACCACCCCUCAUCAGUGGGCAAUGGAUUCAGUCUGUGCCGGCCCGGGAGUGCGUGAGCAGGUCCCAAGGGAGCUGUCUCUGCUUGACCCUCCAUGGUUCCAGAGUAGCAGCUGAGACAUGAAAGAACCAAGGUAGAACAAUGCCAGGUGGCCAACGGCAGAACCGGUCCCAACCAGAAAGGUCCAAGAUGGCGAUGGGGUGCCCUGCGCAAAACGAAACGUGUGCCAAAGGUGCCAUGUGCAGGAAAGGAAGGUCAGCGCAUGCCCCAAGUGCUCCUGCCCCAGCGACGACGUGGAGACCCCUCCCCCUGCACAUCCCGUAAGAGCCUGGCUCACCUGCCCUUCUGGGAGAAGGUGCUUUAGAGCUGACCCCGGCCUCCUCCAUCCACUGAUGGGUGAAUAACGCUUCUGCUCUGCUAUUCUGAA